RNAcentral lists this ribosomal RNA (497 nucleotides) under uncultured bacterium. RNAcentral's name for it is "partial 16S ribosomal RNA". It matches the Rfam family "Bacterial small subunit ribosomal RNA", at positions 28 to 507 of the family's 1533-position model. The record is from RNAcentral.
GAUGAACGCUGGCGGCGUGCCUAAUAGAUGCAAGUCGAGCGAACGGACGAGAAGCUUGCUUCUCUGAUGUUAGCGGCGGACGGGUGAGUAACACGUGGAUAGCCUACCUAUAAGACUGGGAUAACUCCGGGAAACCGGAGCUAAUACCGGAUAAUAUUUUGAACCGCAUGGUUCAAAAGUGAAAGACGGUCUUGCUGUCACUUAUAGAUGGAUCCGCGCUGCAUUAGCUAGUUGGUAAGGUAACGGCUUACCAAGGCAACGAUGCAUAGCCGACCUGAGAGGGUGAUCGGCCACACUGGAACUGAGACACGGUCCAGACUCCUACGGGAGGCAGCAGUAGGGAAUCUUCCGCAAAGGGCGAAAGCCUGACGGAGCAACGCCGCGUGAGUGAUGAAGGUCUUCGGAUCGUAAAACUCUGUUAUUAGGGAAGAACAUAUGUGUAAGUAACUGUGCACAUCUUGACGGUACCUAAUCAGAAAGCCACGGCUAACUACGUG